AGAGUUUGAUCAUGGCUCAGAGUGAACGCUGGCGGUAGGCCUAACACAUGCAAGUCGAACGGCAGCACAGUAAGAGCUUGCUCUUACGGGUGGCGAGUGGCGGACGGGUGAGGAAUACAUCGGAAUCUACUUUUUCGUGGGGGAUAACGUAGGGAAACUUACGCUAAUACCGCAUACGACCUACGGGUGAAAGCAGGGGAUCUUCGGACCUUGCGCGAUUGAAUGAGCCGAUGUCAGAUUAGCUAGUUGGCGGGGUAAAGGCCCACCAAGGCGACGAUCCGUAGCUGGUCUGAGAGGAUGAUCAGCCACACUGGAACUGAGACACGGUCCAGACUCCUACGGGAGGCAGCAGUGGGGAAUAUUGGACAAUGGGCGCAAGCCUGAUCCAGCCAUACCGCGUGGGUGAAGAAGGCCUUCGGGUUGUAAAGCCCUUUUGUUGGGAAAGAAAUCCAGCUGGCUAAUACCCGGUUGGGAUGACGGUACCCAAAGAAUAAGCACUGGCUAACUUCGUGCCAGCAGCCGCGGUAAUACGAAGGGUGCAAGCGUUACUCGGAAUUACUGGGCGUAAAGCGUGCGUAGGUGGUCGUUUAAGUCCGUUGUGAAAGCCCUGGGCUCAACCUGGGAACUGCAGUGGAUACUGGGCGACUAGAGUGUGGUAGAGGGUAGCGGAAUUCCUGGUGUAGCAGUGAAAUGCGUAGAGAUCAGGAGGAACAUCCAUGGCGAAGGCAGCUACCUGGACCAACACUGACACUGAGGCACGAAAGCGUG
This 768-nucleotide ribosomal RNA is filed under the name uncultured bacterium. RNAcentral's name for it is "bacterial SSU rRNA". It matches the Rfam family "Bacterial small subunit ribosomal RNA", at positions 8 to 763 of the family's 1533-position model. The record is from RNAcentral.